This 111-nucleotide microRNA precursor is filed under the name Mustela putorius furo (domestic ferret). RNAcentral describes it as "miRNA (ENSMPUG00000020984.1)". Lineage: Eukaryota; Metazoa; Chordata; Mammalia; Carnivora; Mustelidae. The record is from RNAcentral.
UGGGGCAAGGACCGGCCACGGCCUCCAUGCUUCUAGUCCCUUCCUUGAAGCGAUCGGGUAAAUCAUUAUGACGCGCCUCAAGCAAGGGACUUCUAGCUGGUGGCUUCCAGC